This 1372-nucleotide ribosomal RNA is filed under the name uncultured bacterium. RNAcentral's name for it is "bacterial SSU rRNA". It matches the Rfam family "Bacterial small subunit ribosomal RNA", at positions 28 to 1381 of the family's 1533-position model. The record is from RNAcentral.
GAUGAACGCUGGCGGCGUGCCUAAUACAUGCAAGUCGAGCGAACAGACGAGGAGCUUGCUCCUUUGACGUUAGCGGCGGACGGGUGAGUAACACGUGGGUAACCUACCUAUAAGACUGGGAUAACUUCGGGAAACCGGAGCUAAUACCGGAUAAUAUUUCGAACCGCAUGGUUCGAUAGUGAAAGAUGGCUUUGCUAUCACUUAUAGAUGGACCUGCGCCGUAUUAGCUAGUUGGUAAGGUAACGGCUUACCAAGGCAACGAUACGUAGCCGACCUGAGAGGGUGAUCGGCCACACUGGAACUGAGACACGGUCCAGACUCCUACGGGAGGCAGCAGUAGGGAAUCUUCCGCAAUGGGCGAAAGCCUGACGGAGCAACGCCGCGUGAGUGAUGAAGGUCUUCGGAUCGUAAAACUCUGUUAUUAGGGAAGAACAAACGUGUAAGUAACUGUGCACAUCUUGACGGUACCUAAUCAGAAAGCCACGGCUAACUACGUGCCAGCAGCCGCGGUAAUACGUAGGUGGCAAGCGUUAUCCGGAAUUAUUGGGCGUAAAGCGCGCGUAGGCGGUUUUUUAAGUCUGAUGUGAAAGCCCACGGCUCAACCGUGGAGGGUCAUUGGAAACUGGAAAACUUGAGUGCAGAAGAGGAAAGUGGAAUUCCAUGUGUAGCGGUGAAAUGCGCAGAGAUAUGGAGGAACACCAGUGGCGAAGGCGACUUUCUGGUCUGUAACUGACGCUGAUGUGCGAAAGCGUGGGGAUCAAACAGGAUUAGAUACCCUGGUAGUCCACGCCGUAAACGAUGAGUGCUAAGUGUUAGGGGGUUUCCGCCCCUUAGUGCUGCAGCUAACGCAUUAAGCACUCCGCCUGGGGAGUACGACCGCAAGGUUGAAACUCAAAGGAAUUGACGGGGACCCGCACAAGCGGUGGAGCAUGUGGUUUAAUUCGAAGCAACGCGAAGAACCUUACCAAAUCUUGACAUCCUUUGACCCUUCUAGAGAUAGAAGUUUCCCCUUCGGGGGACAAAGUGACAGGUGGUGCAUGGUUGUCGUCAGCUCGUGUCGUGAGAUGUUGGGUUAAGUCCCGCAACGAGCGCAACCCUUAAGCUUAGUUGCCAUCAUUAAGUUGGGCACUCUAAGUUGACUGCCGGUGACAAACCGGAGGAAGGUGGGGAUGACGUCAAAUCAUCAUGCCCCUUAUGAUUUGGGCUACACACGUGCUACAAUGGACAAUACAAAGGGCAGCGAAACCGCGAGGUCAAGCAAAUCCCAUAAAGUUGUUCUCAGUUCGGAUUGUAGUCUGCAACUCGACUACAUGAAGCUGGAAUCGCUAGUAAUCGUAGAUCAGCAUGCUACGGUGAAUACGUUCCCGGGUCU